GCGUCGUGGCGGCGUGUAUAUACAUGCAAGUCGAGCGAACUGAUUAGAAGCUUGCUUCUAUGACGUUAGCGGCGGACGGGUGAGUAACACGUGGGCAACCUGCCUGUAAGACUGGGAUAACUUCGGGAAACCGAAGCUAAUACCGGAUAGGAUCUUCUCCUUCAUGGGAGAUGAUUGAAAGAUGGUUUCGGCUAUCACUUACAGAUGGGCCCGCGGUGCAUUAGCUAGUUGGUGAGGUAACGGCUCACCAAGGCAACGAUGCAUAGCCGACCUGAGAGGGUGAUCGGCCACACUGGGACUGAGACACGGCCCAGACUCCUACGGGAGGCAGCAGUAGGGAAUCUUCCGCAAUGGACGAAAGUCUGACGGAGCAACGCCGCGUGAGUGAUGAAGGCUUUCGGGUCGUAAAACUCUGUUGUUAGGGAAGAACAAGUACAAGAGUAACUGCUUGUACCUUGACGGUACCUAACCAGAAAGCCACGGCUAACUACGUGCCAGCAGCCGCGGUAAUACGUAGGUGGCAAGCGUUAUCCGGAAUUAUUGGGCGUAAAGCGCGCGCAGGCGGUUUCUUAAGUCUGAUGUGAAAGCCCACGGCUCAACCGUGGAGGGUCAUUGGAAACUGGGGAACUUGAGUGCAGAAGAGAAAAGCGGAAUUCCACGUGUAGCGGUGAAAUGCGUAGAGAUGUGGAGGAACACCAGUGGCGAAGGCGGCUUUUUGGUCUGUAACUGACGCUGAGGCGCGA
This 743-nucleotide ribosomal RNA is filed under the name Bacillus sp. S522B-10. RNAcentral's name for it is "bacterial SSU rRNA". It matches the Rfam family "Bacterial small subunit ribosomal RNA", at positions 33 to 756 of the family's 1533-position model. Lineage: Bacteria; Bacillati; Bacillota; Bacilli; Caryophanales; Bacillaceae. The record is from RNAcentral.